RNA transcript from Dendroctonus ponderosae (mountain pine beetle), 544 nucleotides. It is a transcript of the gene named cytochrome b-c1 complex subunit 8, with no coding region annotated. The record is from RefSeq and is a predicted model, not a curated record. The transcript has 4 exons. Lineage: Eukaryota; Metazoa; Arthropoda; Insecta; Coleoptera; Curculionidae.
UAAGAAAGACUUAAGGACGUUAUGAUUACACAAUUCAUAUACGUAUACUGUAUAUUUGACUAACUAUCGGCUAAAGUAAGGUUGGAAGAAGGCUAAGUCAUGCUUAAGUACUCGAGAACGAGUCCUUAAAUUUAAGAUUUUCAAAGACGAACUUAAGAAGAAAAGGAGCAAAGGGACAAUUUCCAUCAAUAAUUCCGGGUUUACUAUCCAGCUAUACAAGCAUCCACCAUGGGUCACGGUUUUGGAAACUUAUGGAAAUUCAGAGGCAUAAUCACAUACAGGCUGUCGCCUUUUGAACUAAGAGCAUUUGCUGGCACUAUUAAUCCCGGUAUUCCCAAUACUAUUCGGAGGAUUUUGGAGAAUGUCCCCUACAUGUCUCCAUUGGCAGUAGCAUACCUAGUCUAUGAUGGCGUCGAGAAAGCCCAUAAAGAAACAAUGAAGAAAAAUCCUGCCGAUUUCGAAAAUGAUCAAUAGUCGUUGUCUAGUUACAUGGUAUAGUAAUUUUCCAAAUAAAUAAACCCCCAGUAUAUUAACAUUGGUUCAA